This 615-nucleotide long non-coding RNA is filed under the name Anas platyrhynchos platyrhynchos (common mallard). RNAcentral describes it as "lncRNA (ENSAPLG00000024742.1)". Lineage: Eukaryota; Metazoa; Chordata; Aves; Anseriformes; Anatidae. The record is from RNAcentral.
GUUGGAUUUACCUCUGCAGUUUCAAGAGGAUUCUGGUAAAUAUCCUGAUUUAACCUAGAAUAUUUCCUACAGAGUUGUGGGAAGAUAACUUAGUUUCAGAAAAGAGCUUUUAGUUCAACUUAGUAUUAGUUGCAUGGAAAAUGCAAUGGAUUACAUGGAAAUGAUGCAACAAUCACACAGAAAGCGAUCUAAAUGGAAGCUGUCUGACUGGUAUUCAGCACUUUGUGCUAUAGCCUCCUUGCCUCUGAACUUUGUUCACCAUCAGCCUAGGGAGAAGGCAAAGCUGGUUUUUAGGUGUAAAGCUGGGAGGGAGACCAAUACAGAAAGUCAGCAGCCUGGAAGGAACGUGCAAGGUGACAGUUAAGUUACAUCCACAAGUGGUUUAUCAGAAGCAGUGUUUUGUGUGAAGGAGUAUCGGAGCACCCCUGCUGUUAGUUCCUGCUGGAGGAGCAGCUGCCUUGAUGCAGUUUGGCACUGCCUUUCUUUUAAAACACGUUUCCACUCAAUGCACUUGGUGUGGCAGUGACCUUCUUACCCAUCAAGUGUAAGUACACAUGCGGCAUCAGAGCAGACCAAGAACAUUGUGAAGAUGAAGAAUAAAACCUCUUCUGUAGA